CAGGCUCAAGACGUUCUUUCUCCUUAGAAUUUAUGUGAAGUAAGUAUUCAUGAUGAAGAAAGUAAAAUGCAUUUUACCUAUUGUGGCAUGUACCCAAAAUCAUAACAGAGUGCUAGAAAUGUAUAAAUUUUCUAAAUAUCUCGGGAUAAUGUCUCUCCUUUUAUUUGAUUAUAUACAUACACAAGCAUAUAUCUGUACUAAAAGUAGAACUGCUACAAAAAUGAAGGAAAGACAUAGACUGCAAAAUAGCCCACAGUCUUGUACCAACGUCCAAUUGGUACAAUUAGAUGCAAUUAGAGCUGGAGCUUGUACCAGACUUUCCCACAUAUCAGGUGCAUAUUCUAGCAAUUCUGAGUUAGUUGCUCAAUUUUUCAAUCUGAAAAUGCUCAGUCUGAAAAGUUCCUAAAGGAGAAGCUGAUUCCUAUUUUUAAACAUGUCUUCAUAACUUUGUAUAUCGGGAAAAGUUUGGGGGCACACUGGGCUGUCUCUGAAAGCACUGAACCAUCCAUAGAAUAGUGUUACUGGUAAAGCUUCACUCAGUUUAAGAAAACUGUGCUCACUCAGUGUAGCUAAGGGCACAAGACUGAGAAUACAUCCAAAGUUCUUCGCCUUAUCAUAAUUCCAUGUGAUUUGAAGUAAUAGUUUCUCAGGGAUCAGUAUUGGGACCAAUGCUGUUUAAUAUCUUUUUCAGCAGGACUGAGUGGGAUUGAGUGCAAGUUUGCUGAUUACACCAAGGUGUGCGGUCUAGUUGAGAUGCUGGAGAGAAGGGAUGCUGUCCAGAUGGACCUUGACAGACUUCAGAGGUCGGCCCAUGUGAACUUCACAAAAUUGAACAAGGCAAAGUGCAAGGUGCUGCAUCUGGGUCAGAGCAAUUCCAAGCUCAAAUAUGGUCUGAGUAGAGAGUGGAUUGAGAGAAGCCCAGAGAAGAUGGACUUGUGGGUGUUGGUUGAUGACAGGCUUAAAUAUGAGCUGGCAACAUGUUUUCAGACCAGAGAGGAAAUCAUGUCCUGAGCUGCAUCAAAAGAAGCAUGGCUAGCAGGGUGAAGCAGGUGUUCUUCUCCCUCUCCUCUCCUGAGAUCUCACCUGAAGUGCUGCAUCCAGCUCUGAGUUCCCCAGCAUAAGAAGGAUGUGAACCUGCUAAAGCGAGAUCAGAGGAGGGCCACGAAAGAUGAUCAGAGGUCUGGAACCCCUCAUCUGUGAGGACAGGCUGAGGGAGUUGGUGUUUUCCAGCCUGGAGAAGAGCAGGAUCCAAGGAGACCUUAUAGCACCCUCCCACUACCUUAAGGGGACCUACAAGAAGGCUGGGGGGACUUGUCACAAGGACAUAUAGUGAUAAGACAAGAGGCAAUGUUUUUAAACUAAAAGAGGGUAGGUUUAGAUAGGUAUUAGGAAGAAAUACUUUACUGUGAAGGUACUGGAAUAGAUUCCUCAGAAAAGCUGUGAAUGCCCCAUUCCUGAAAGUGUUCAAGGCCAGGUUGGAUGGGGAUUUGAGACACCUGGUCUAGAGGAAACUUUCCCUGCCCAUGGCAGAGAUGUUGGAAGGAGAUGAUCUUUAAGGUCCCUUCCAAGCCAAAGAGGUCUAUGAUUCUAUGAUCAAAGUCUUUACAUGUCCAAAUUCUAAUGUUUGCAAAAAGCCUGAAAAAGUAAAUACAUCUCUGAAAUGCCACUUGUAUUGUGUGUAGCUGGCAAAAUGAGGGCUACAGGGAUGGCUGCUUUGGCAGGAGUUUAGAAUGAGUCUUGUCCCAGACUCAGCUGGUUUCAGCCUUCUCCACAAGGGACCCACAACAGGACAAGGUAGAAGUUGUUGGCUAUUUGUACAUUUUCUCUGGCAUAGCAUAUUUAAAGAGAGAGGAGAAAGUGUAAGAAAUGAUCCUGCAAGCAACAAGGUCUGACAAGAAGGGUGAGGAUGUGCUCAGACAUUCCCUUGUAACUCUUGCUGGAGCAAUUUAUUUCCCUACAGCCCAUGUACUUGACCACUUUGGAAUAAAUAUCCAUCUUGCAGCCCUCGAAGGACAGAGCUCUGGAAUGUUGUUGUUUAUUUACUUUUAAGAUUAAGAUAUAAAAGAAUGUGUAGUUUGUGUGUAUAUUUUCAGAUUUCCAGACCUACUAUCUAUUAAUCCUAAUGCAUCACAAUUGAUCAAAGUUACUUUCCAAUGCAAGAUUCAUGACAGUUUUGAGUUAAAUUAUUGUACUUCCUGAAGUUUGGAAUUCCAGAGAUAUAUAACACAAGUUUAGGAAGAUUUACUUGCUAUCAAAUAUCAUAUUCUAAUUCAAACAUUUAUAUUAUAGGAAAUUAGAUUAUUGGACUCAAAUCAAAAGGAAGAUAUAGAACUAUUAUGAUAUGUCUUUUACGAAGAAUUACCUUUAGAUUUUUCACACUCUUCUUGUUUAGUUAAGUAACAAAUAAUUUCUGUACAUAGAUCUACAAAUGUGAACAGGCAUAGAUACAUAAGAUAAAUGCUUAAGCACUUACAUGUAUUAAAAGAACGGACAUGUGUCUAGCCCUGGAGACAGUAUGCUUUGUAUCUGGAUUUCAGAUUAUAGCAAACACUUUUGAUUAUUUGCAUGUACAAAGCUGUAUUUGGCAGUACAUUUUAACUUCUUAUAGUUAAGUGAGUCGCAGGUGAGAGAUUAUGCUAAAACAUAAUUUUAAAUGCUAAAACACCAUUGGAGAAUGUUAGUUCUCUGACAAUAAAGAGAUUGACUCUCGAUUCAUAGUGCCACGUCAUUCACUCUUGUCACUUCUUAGCGAAUGGAGCACAUGGGGAAGCUCAAGACUGCUCCUGAGUCAAACUGUUUCAGCCUACUCAGCCCACAUAUAUUAAUUCCUCUCAUUAAACAACACUCUAAUUCUAUCUGGUCCAAACUAGCAGAACCUAUUCAAACUCAGAAGAUUGCUUUAUUGGCAUACAGGUGUCUUCUCUCUCCCUUUUAUUCUGCCAAAUAUUUCCACCAAAGAAACUUAACCAAUAGCUACCCAUUUGAUUUUAUCUUUGAUCUUAUCAAAAACUGAUACACUUCCUAAAGAAAAAGAAUAUUAGAAUCUUUGACAACCUUCUACUGCCAUUUCACCACCACAGUGGAAUUAUUGGAAGGCCACAAAACUGUGCAGAAAAUUUUAACUCUUUAGCAGUUGGGUACCAUUUAUCAA
Molecule: long non-coding RNA, 3151 nt
Organism: Taeniopygia guttata (zebra finch)
Lineage: Eukaryota; Metazoa; Chordata; Aves; Passeriformes; Estrildidae
Source: Ensembl